AGUUUGAUCAUGGCUCAGAUUGAACGCUGGCGGCAGGCCUAACACAUGCAAGUCGAACGGUAACAGGAAGCAGCUUGCUGCUUCGCUGACGAGUGGCGGACGGGUGAGUAAUGUCUGGGAAACUGCCUGAUGGAGGGGGAUAACUACUGGAAACGGUGGCUAAUACCGCAUAACGUCGCAAGACCAAAGAGGGGGACCUUCGGGCCUCUUGCCAUCAGAUGUGCCCAGAUGGGAUUAGCUAGUUGGUGAGGUAACGGCUCACCAAGGCGACGAUCCCUAGCUGGUCUGAGAGGAUGACCAGCCACACUGGAACUGAGACACGGUCCAGACUCCUACGGGAGGCAGCAGUGGGGAAUAUUGCACAAUGGGCGCAAGCCUGAUGCAGCCAUGCCGCGUGUAUGAAGAAGGCCUUCGGGUUGUAAAGUACUUUCAGCGGGGAGG
Molecule: ribosomal RNA, 441 nt
Filed under: Salmonella enterica
Lineage: Bacteria; Pseudomonadati; Pseudomonadota; Gammaproteobacteria; Enterobacterales; Enterobacteriaceae
Also listed under: 1 other name
Description: bacterial SSU rRNA
Rfam family: Bacterial small subunit ribosomal RNA
Source: RNAcentral